GCGUCCUCAAGAUUUCUCACCUGAUAACUAUUUCCGCGGCAUGUUGGACAAGCAUAUGGCAAAUUUCCAUCCACUUGAAACUGCAAAUAUUUUUCAUCGCUGAUGCCAUCGCAUUGGCAGUGCACCCAGCGCUGGCAAAUGUCACAGCAGACCAUAGGGGUUGAUUCAGAAUCUCUAUAUACCUUCAAACAAACAGGACAGUAGUUUCCCUUCACAAAUAAUCUUCCACAGGCAUCGCAACAAGUGUAUCCUAAAAACCACCUCACGCUCAGUCCAUUUCCUGGAACAUUAGAACAACAGCUGUGGCACUUUGUGUGUUUAGGGCAUAAAUAAGGCCCACUGCUAAUGUUCUUGUGUGGAGGCUGCAGACAGUAAC
This 376-nucleotide unclassified non-coding RNA is filed under the name Hevea brasiliensis (rubber tree). Lineage: Eukaryota; Viridiplantae; Streptophyta; Magnoliopsida; Malpighiales; Euphorbiaceae. The record is from RNAcentral.